Molecule: ribosomal RNA, 497 nt
Filed under: uncultured bacterium
Lineage: Bacteria
Description: partial 16S ribosomal RNA
Rfam family: Bacterial small subunit ribosomal RNA
Source: RNAcentral
GACGAACGCUGGCGGCGUGCCUAAUACAUGCAAGUUGAGCGCUGAAGGUUGGUACUUGUCCCAACUGGAUGAGCAGCGAACGGGUGAGUAACGCGUGGGGAAUCUGCCUUUGAGCGGGGGACAACAUUUGGAAACGAGUGCUAAUACCGCAUAAAAACUUUAAACACAAGUUUUAAGUUUGAAAGAUGCAAUUGCAUCACUCAAAGAUGAUCCCGCGUUGUAUUAGCUAGUUGGUGAGGUAAAGGCUCACCAAGGCGAUGAUACAUAGCCGACCUGAGAGGGUGAUCGGCCACAUUGGGACUGAGACACGGCCCAAACUCCUACGGGAGGCAGCAGUAGGGAAUCUUCGGAAAUGGACGAAAGUCUGAACGAGCAACGCCGCGUGAGUGAAGAAGGGUUUCGGAUCGUAAAACUCUGUUGGUAGAGAAGAACGUUGGUGAGAGUGGAAAGCUCAUCAAGUGACGGUAACUACCCAGAAAGGGACGGCUAACUACGUG